GCUUGUCUCAAAGAUUAAGCCAUGCAUGUCUAAGUAUAAGCCUUUAUAUGGUGAGACUGCGAAUGGCUCAUUAAAUCAGAAACUGUUUAUUUGAUAGUGCCUACUACAUGGAUACCUGUAGUAAUUCUAGAGCUAAUACAUGCGCAAAUACCCAACUGCUUGUCGGACGGGUAGCAUUUAUUAGAUUGAAACCAAUGCAGUCUUCGGGCUGGUAUUGUGUUGAGUCAUAAUAACUGUGCGGAUCGCGUUUUACGCGAUAAAUCGAUUGAGUUUCUGCCCUAUCAGCUUUGGAUGGUAGGAUAUGGGCCUACCAUGGCAUUAACGGGUAACGGGGAAUUAGGGUUUGAUUCCGGAGAGGGAGCCUUAGAAACGGCUACCACAUCCAAGGAAGGCAGCAGG
RNAcentral lists this ribosomal RNA (399 nucleotides) under Phytopythium helicoides. Its description in RNAcentral is "partial small subunit ribosomal RNA". It matches the Rfam family "Eukaryotic small subunit ribosomal RNA", at positions 30 to 432 of the family's 1831-position model. The record is from RNAcentral. Lineage: Eukaryota; Oomycota; Peronosporomycetes; Pythiales; Pythiaceae.